GAUGAACGCUGGCGGCGUGCUUAACACAUGCAAGUCGAACGGAAAGGCUCCUGCUUGCAGGGGUACUCGAGUGGCGAAAGGGUGAGUAACACGUGGGUGAUCUGCCCUGCACUUCGGGAUAAGCCUGGGAAACUGGGUCUAAUACCGGAUAGGACGAUGGUUUGGAUGCCAUUGUGGAAAGUUUUUCGGUGUGGGAUGAGCUCGCGGCCUAUCAGCUUGUUGGUGGGGUAAUGGCCUACCAAGGCGUCGACGGGUAGCCGGCCUGAGAGGGUGUACGGCCACAUUGGGACUGAGAUACGGCCCAGACUCCUACGGGAGGCAGCAGUGGGGAAUAUUGCACAAUGGGCGCAAGCCUGAUGCAGCGACGCCGCGUGGGGGAUGACGGCCUUCGGGUUGUAAACUCCUUUCGCUAGGGACGAAGCGCAAGUGACGGUACCUGGAGAAGAAGCACCGGCUAACUACGUG
RNAcentral lists this ribosomal RNA (465 nucleotides) under uncultured bacterium. RNAcentral describes it as "partial 16S ribosomal RNA". It matches the Rfam family "Bacterial small subunit ribosomal RNA", at positions 28 to 507 of the family's 1533-position model. The record is from RNAcentral.